GCCUCGGUGGUGUUGUGGUAGCACGCAUCAACGGUAUGAAUGAAACACGGGUUCGACUCCCGUCUGAGGUC
Non-coding RNA from Parelaphostrongylus tenuis, 71 nucleotides. The record is from the annotation of a GenBank genome assembly. Lineage: Eukaryota; Metazoa; Nematoda; Chromadorea; Rhabditida; Metastrongylidae.